RNA transcript from Myripristis murdjan (pinecone soldierfish), 3597 nucleotides. It is a transcript of the gene named SPT16 homolog, facilitates chromatin remodeling subunit, with no coding region annotated. The transcript is spliced from 25 exons. The record is from RefSeq and is a predicted model, not a curated record. NCBI's taxonomy places the organism in Eukaryota, Metazoa, Chordata, Actinopteri, Holocentriformes, Holocentridae.
UUUGUGCGUGGCAGUGCGUGCAGAGGGAGCGCAGUUCAUCCUUGUUUGUGUAUUAAAUAUUAAAAGUAUAGCCGGUUUUAAUUCGGUGUGUGUGCAUUUUAACUUUUGUGGGGGGGUUAACCUGUUUGUUUACGUUGUGUGUGAGUGUCUGUGUGUGUGUGGUCCACGGGCCUUUAUAGUGAAAUCCGAGGGGAAGCAGCUUGUGUCCGAGGCGUGGAGGGAGCCUCAUCCGGCCUGCUACCAGCCAGCCAGCCGGGCUCUGACGGCGCACAGCGGUCGCUAUGGCGGUGAACUUAGACAAGGAGGCCUACUACCGCCGGAUCAAGCGAUUAUACGGCAACUGGAAGAAAGGAGAAGAUGAAUUCGGCAAAGUGGAUGCCAUCGUGGUGUCUGUCGGAGUGGACGAGGAAAUUGUCUACGCCAAGUCCACAGCCUUACAGACCUGGCUGUUCGGCUACGAGCUGACGGACACCAUCAUGGUGUUCUGCGAGAACAAGAUCAUCUUCCUGGCCAGCAAGAAGAAAGUAGAGUUCCUCAAACAGGUGGCCAUAACCAAAGGCAACGAGAACGCCAACGGUGUCCCGCCCAUCACCCUGCUCACCAGAGAAAAGAAUGAAAGCAACAAGGCCAACUUUGACAAGAUGAUCGAGGCCAUCAGAGGCAGCAAAGAAGGGAAAACGGUGGGAGUCUUCAGCAAGGACAAAUUCCCCGGGGAGUACAUGAAGAGCUGGAACGACACCAUCACCGCCGAGGGACUGGAGAAGGUGGACAUCAGCGCCGUGGUCGCCUACACGAUGGCGGUGAAGGAGGACGGGGAGUUGGCCCUGAUGAAGAAGGCAGCAGCUGUCACCAGCGAGGUUUACUCCAAGUUCUUCAAGGAGCGCGUCAUGGAGAUCGUGGACGCAGACGAGAAAGUGCGCCACAGUAAGCUGGCGGAGUCGGUGGAGAAGGCGAUCGAGGAGAAGAAGUACCUGGGCGGCGCCGACCCCUCCACGGUAGAGAUGUGUUACCCCCCUAUCAUCCAGAGCGGAGGAAACUACAGCCUCAAGUUCAGCGUUGUCAGCGAUAAGAACCACAUGCACUUCGGUGCCAUCACAUGUGCCAUGGGGAUCCGCUACAAGUCGUACUGCUCCAACCUGGUGCGCACCCUGAUGGUGGACCCGCCACAGGAGAUGCAGGACAACUACAACUUCCUGCUGCAGGUGGAGGAGGAGCUGCUCAAGGAGCUCAAACACGGGGUGAAGAUCUGCGACGCCUACAACGCUGUCGUGGAGUACGUCAAGAAAGAGAAGCCAGACCUCGUCGCCAAGCUCACCAAAAACCUCGGUUUCGCCAUGGGAAUUGAGUUCAGAGAGGGCUCUUUGGUUCUGAACGGUAAAAACCAGUACAAGCUGAAAAAAGGCAUGGUGUUGAGUAUCAGUCUGGGCUUUUCUGACAUGGUGAAUAAAGAGGGGAAGAAGGAGGAGCAGAAGAAAUACGCUCUGUUUAUCGGAGACAGUGUACAGAUCAACGAGGAGGAAGCUGCCACGAUACUCACACCUGUCAAGAAAAAGAUCAAGAAUGUGGGAAUAUUCCUCAAGAAUGAUGACGAGGAAGAUGAGGAUGAAGAGGCAGAUGAUGCUGAGGAGCUUCUGGGCAAAGGAGCACGAGGUGCAGCUCUUCUGGCAGACAGAACCAGGAAUGAGAUGACAGCGGAGGAGAAGAGGCGAGCUCAUCAGAAGGAGCUGGCCAAUCAGGUGAACGAGGAGGCCAAGCGCCGUCUGACGGAGCAGAAAGGAGAGCAGCAGAUUCAGAAGGCCAGAAAAUCAAACGUCUCCUACAAGAACGUGUCCCAGAUGCCCAGAGAAAAAGACAUCAGGGACAUGAAGAUCUUCAUCGACAAGAAAUACGAGACCGUCGUCAUGCCCGUCUUCGGCAUCGCCACGCCUUUCCACAUCGCCACCAUCAAGAACAUCAGUAUGUCGGUAGAGGGCGACUACACCUACCUGAGGAUCAACUUCUACGUCCCCGGCAGCUCCCUGGGACGCCACGAGGGAAACAUCUUCCCCAACCCCGACGCCACAUUUGUCAAAGAAAUCACGUACCGCGCAUCCAACCUGAAGGCCCCCGGCGACACGUCGGUGCCCUCCACCAACCUGCAGAACGCCUUCCGCAUCAUCAAGGAGGUGCAGAAGCGCUACAAGACGCGGGAGGCGGAGGAGAAGGAGAAGGAGGGCAUCGUCAAGCAGGACUCGCUGGUCAUCAACCUCAACCGCAGCAACCCCAAGCUCAAAGACCUCUACAUCCGACCCAACAUCGCCCAGAAGAGGAUGCAGGGCUCGCUGGAGGCUCACACCAACGGUUUCCGCUUCACGUCGGUCCGCGGAGACAAAGUGGACAUCCUCUACAACAACAUCAAGCACUCCAUCUUCCAGCCCUGUGACGGGGAAAUGAUUAUCGUACUGCACUUCCACCUCAAGAACGCCAUCAUGUUCGGCAAGAAGCGCCACACGGACGUCCAGUUCUACACGGAGGUCGGGGAGAUCACCACGGACUUGGGCAAGCACCAGCACAUGCACGACCGCGACGACCUGUACGCCGAGCAGAUGGAGCGGGAGAUGAGGCACAAGCUCAAGUCGGCGUUCAAGAACUUCAUCGAGAAGGUGGAGACGCUGACUAAAGAGGAACUGGAGUUCGAGGUUCCCUUCAGAGACCUGGGGUUCCAGGGCGCCCCCUACAGGAGUACAUGUCUCCUACAACCAACAUCCAGUUCCCUUGUCAAUGUUACUGAGUGGCCGCCCUUCGUGGUGACCCUGGACGAGGUGGAGCUGGUGCACUUUGAGCGCGUGCAGUUUCACCUGAAGAACUUCGACGUGGUCAUCGUCUACAAGGACUACAACAAGAAGGUCACCAUGAUCAACGCCGUGCCCGUCAACUCCCUGGACCCCAUCAAGGAGUGGCUCAACUCGUGUGACAUCAAGUACACAGAAGGAGUUCAGUCGCUGAACUGGACCAAGAUCAUGAAGACCAUAGUUGAUGAUCCGGAGGGCUUCUUCGAGCAGGGCGGCUGGUCGUUCUUGGACCCGGAGAGCGAGGGAAGUGGUGCAGAGGAGGACUCCGAGUCAGAAAUGGAGGAUGAGACGUUUAACCCCUCUGCAGAAGAGGAUGAGGACGAAGAAGAAGACAGUGACGAGGACUAUGACUCAGAGACGGAGGACUCCGACUACAGCGCGUCGCUGGGCAGCGAGGAGGAGAGCGGCAAAGACUGGGACGAGCUGGAGGAGGAAGCCAGGAAAGCCGACAGAGAGAGCCACUACGAGGACGCAGAGGAGACCUCCAACAGGAAGAGGAAGGUUCGAUCAGCAGCUCCGCCCAGCAAGAAGAAACGGCGGCAUUAAAUGUCCCUUCUCUCUCUCUCGCUCUCUCACACACACAUACACACACACACACACACACACACACACAGACACACACACAUGCACACACCGAUACACACUGUCUCCCUCCCACCUUUCCUUCUUUCUGUCCUUUUUUUUCAUUCUGGGUAGAUUGUUGUACUUGUAAUUCUGAAAAUCCUGUUUUUGUUUUUGUAAUAAAAUUAAAAGGAACUGUAGUUUA